CUGACAUUGCGGCUACAGCAGCGAAUCUUACACUCCCAGGCAGUGCAGUGAAGCAGAUUAAAGCCACAACGGUGAAUCUUGCUUCCCCGACAUUGCAGUUAAAAAGAUUAAAGCCACAAUGGCGAAUCUUACUUUCCAAAAGUUACGAGUUACAAAUCCUAUCUCCCUGAUAUUACACUGGAGCAGAUCGAAGCAAUUCCUAUACCUCUGAAGAAGUAGUAAGGUGGAAUAAAGCUACUUGAAGAAAAGAG
This 251-nucleotide long non-coding RNA is filed under the name Gossypium barbadense (sea-island cotton). RNAcentral describes it as "long non-coding RNA (GBAR_LNC015694)". The record is from RNAcentral. Lineage: Eukaryota; Viridiplantae; Streptophyta; Magnoliopsida; Malvales; Malvaceae.